Molecule: non-coding RNA, 1578 nt
Organism: Oryza sativa Japonica Group (Japanese rice)
Lineage: Eukaryota; Viridiplantae; Streptophyta; Magnoliopsida; Poales; Poaceae
Source: RefSeq, a predicted model, not a curated record
CGACGAAGCGGUGAGGGCGGCGAAGCUGAGGGAGGAGGCGUACAAGCAGGUGGCUAACCUCGACUGGUCCAGCAACGCCGACUUCUGGAAGGCCGUCGAUAUUGUCAAAACCUUGCCACCCAAGCGCAAGGAAUUCGGGAUUCGUUGAUUGUACAUUUCCUUUUGAGUUUUAGGCUGGACUUCCACCUGGUGCAACUCUUCUUUGUGUGCCUGCCUUCUCUAGCCGUUUAUUUGGUUGCUCAGUAUGCACGGAGUGAGAUCAAAAGGAUGGAGGCAGUAAUAAACUAUGCUUCUCUCAUGCACCAUUUCCUUUUGAGUAGAUCCCAAUCAGAACAAUUUGACUCUUAAACAUCAAAUGCACAGAAUUCUCAGUUUCAACUAUCUUGUUAGUAAAUACUAAAACAUUGUGUUUCAACUUAUUUUCGUAAAUGAUUAUGCUACUCAUCUGAUGUAUUUUAUUUUUAUAUGCUAUAACUGUGUUUGGUGAAAAAAGAUAGCUUGUGUAAGAUUUAGUUCUUGCUAAAAUGAUCUCAGGCAAAAUCAUUAAAACUGAGUCCUUGGGUUGGUGGUUGUUCCAAUAUCAGUUUUGAUCAAGCUCUGUUGUAGGGUUGUCACCUAAAUGCAUCAACGCUGGAACUUGUCAGGGCAUCUUAAAUGAGUAGUUGGUUCAUUUUAGGUGUUCAAAAUAUUUGCAUGAUUACAUUUAGCAACCAAUUGAUAGCAGCUUGCCUCGUACAUGGUGUAGAGAGAAUGAUAAGUAUGUGCCGUCAGGUUAUCACUGUCACUUUUUUUCAGUUAUAUAUGAUUCUGAACAUUUAAUUGCGAAGCUGCAAGUGUAGGCUGUAUUUUGGACUAUGUUUCCUUGAAGUGUCAAGUGUCAACAUAGUUUUUUUUAUCCAUUCCAGUUGCUUUUUUCUUCCACUGCUAUAAUAGUAUGUGCAACAAUGCAUUUGUCUCAAGAUUGUUAGCAUUUCUUAUUACUGAUAAUACAUGGUUUGGGGAUAGUGAUUGUUGAUAAAUUGAACACACUUGAGGUUGCCUGUUUGCUUUAGACUUGCAUUGUGUCGAAUAUUCAAAUACUUCAUAUGAUGUCGGCAACAAUAUUACUCCCUCUAGUCUGAACAUGACUUUUUGGAUAUUGACAUGGUCUUACAAAAAAAAAAAACAAUUUGGACCAUAACUCCUGUUGCAGUGUCUACCUUUAACUCUUUAUGAAACCUGAUAAUAUGUUUGACAGCAUGUGUGUCCAAACUAAUAUGUAUUUUUGGUCACAGUGAGUAUAGCCCGAGACAUUAGUGUCCAUGUGUAGUUCGCAAGAAAAUUCUGUUUUCAGAUGGUCCAAUUCGCCGUAUGUUAUUUUGUACUCAUGAUAUUCUUAUGAUAAGGCAUGUUCAUUAAGCAUAUGAUGAUUGAUUAAUAUGAUGCUUGCUUCAGGAAGCAGAAGAGAAAAAGAAAAAGGAUGAGGAACUGGAGAAAGAAAAACAGCUUGAAGCAGAUUCUGUUAAGGAUGAGACUGAUUCAAAGCUGUCAGCAGUUUUAGUCCGGUUAGAUACACUGGAGGGAGUUGUUAAUGAGAUU